GAUGAACGCUGGCGGCGUGCCUAAUACAUGCAAGUCGAGCGAACGGACGAGAAGCUUGCUUCUCUGAUGUUAGCGGUGGACGGGUGAGUAACACGUGGAUAACCUACCUAUAAGACUGGGAUAACUUCGGGAAACCGGAGCUAAUACCGGAUAAUAUUUUGAACCGCAUGGUUCAAAAGUGAAAGACGGUCUUGCUGUCACUUAUAGAUGGAUCCGUGCUGCAUUAGCUAGUUGGUAAGGUAACGGCUUACCAAGGCAACGAUGCAUAGCCGACCUGAGAGGGUGAUCGGCCACACUGGAACUGAGACACGGUCCAGACUCCUACGGGAGGCAGCAGUAGGGAAUCUUCCGCAAUGGGCGAAAGCCUGACGGAGCAACGCCGCGUGAGUGAUGAAGGUCUUCGGAUCGUAAAACUCUGUUAUUAGGGAAGAACAUAUGUGUAAGUAACUGUGCACAUCUUGACGGUACCUAAUCAGAAAGCCACGGCUAACUACGUG
This 497-nucleotide ribosomal RNA is filed under the name uncultured bacterium. RNAcentral's name for it is "partial 16S ribosomal RNA". It matches the Rfam family "Bacterial small subunit ribosomal RNA", at positions 28 to 507 of the family's 1533-position model. The record is from RNAcentral.